This 467-nucleotide ribosomal RNA is filed under the name uncultured bacterium. Its description in RNAcentral is "partial 16S ribosomal RNA". It matches the Rfam family "Bacterial small subunit ribosomal RNA", at positions 28 to 507 of the family's 1533-position model. The record is from RNAcentral.
GACGAACGCUGGCGGCGUGCUUAACACAUGCAAGUCGAACGGAAAGGCUCCAGCUUGCUGGAGUACUCGAGUGGCGAACGGGUGAGUAACACGUGGGUAAUCUGCCCUGCACUCUGGGAUAAGCCUGGGAAACUGGGUCUAAUACUGGAUAUGACCUUUCUCCUUAUGGGGUUUGGUGGAAAGUUUUUCGGUGUAGGAUGAGCCCGCGGCCUAUCAGCUUGUUGGUGGGGUGAUGGCCUACCAAGGCGACGACGGGUAGCCGGCCUGAGAGGGUGAUCGGCCACAUUGGGACUGAGAUACGGCCCAGACUCCUACGGGAGGCAGCAGUGGGGAAUAUUGCACAAUGGGCGGAAGCCUGAUGCAGCGACGCCGCGUGAGGGAUGACGGCCUUCGGGUUGUAAACCUCUUUCAGCAGGAACGAAGCGUAAGUGACGGUACCUGCAGAAGAAGCACCGGCUAACUAUGUG